AUGCCCAGUUCCGCUUGCCUCCUCUGCUUCGACGUCAUCCCCGUCGCCGGAGGAUGCAGCACCCGGCCGCCUCGAGCCCCGACGCCGGCGAGCCAUCACCUCCGCCGCCCUUGCCCGUUCCCGACCGGCGUCGCUCUGCAACCCGUCGCUGCCAUUUGUCUUCAGAGACGAGCAGAGCAGUUCCCCCGCGCCUGGAACCGCUCGAUCUCGUUGACCACAGCCACGCGCUCGUGCAUCGCCUCGCUGGGCCGCUGCCAAGGCCCAGCCUACUUCCCCAUGAAUUCGGCCUCCUCCAGUCGUAAACCGAGCGGGCCAAGCCCCACUUGGAUUUCAGGCAAGAUGACCAUACCCUCGAAAUCACUUCUAUCUUUGCUUGCUAGUUGCUCGCUCUUUUGCUAUGCCUAUGCUGUGAUUCCUACCACUUGCUUAUCAUGUCUCCCAUAUUGUUAA
RNAcentral lists this ribosomal RNA (450 nucleotides) under Triticum aestivum (bread wheat). RNAcentral's name for it is "partial small subunit ribosomal RNA". The record is from RNAcentral. Lineage: Eukaryota; Viridiplantae; Streptophyta; Magnoliopsida; Poales; Poaceae.